RNAcentral lists this ribosomal RNA (440 nucleotides) under uncultured bacterium. RNAcentral's name for it is "partial 16S ribosomal RNA". It matches the Rfam family "Bacterial small subunit ribosomal RNA", at positions 338 to 795 of the family's 1533-position model. The record is from RNAcentral.
CCUACGGGAGGCAGCAGUGGGGAAUAUUGCACAAUGGCGGAAACCCUGAUGCAGCGACGCCGCGUGAGUGAAGAAGUAUUUCGGUAUGUAAAGCCCUUUCAGCAGGGAAGAAAAUGUCGGUACCUGACUAAGUAACCACGGCUAACUACGUGCCAGCAGCCGCGGUAAUACGUAGGGGGCAAGCGUUAUCCGGAUUUACUGGGUGUAAAGGGAGCGUAGACGGCCGGACAAGUCAGAAGUGAAAACCCGCGGCUCAACGGCGGGAGUGCGUUUGAAACUGUUUGGCUGGAGUGCAGGAGAGGUAAGUGGAAUUCGUAGUGUAGCGGUGAAAUGCGUAGAUAUUAGGAGGAACACCAGUGGCGAAGGCGGCUUACUGGAGUGUAACUGACGUUGAGGCUCGAAAGCGUGGGUAGCAAACAGGAUUAGAUACCCGAGUAGUC